Non-coding RNA from Camellia sinensis, 1097 nucleotides. The record is from RefSeq and is a predicted model, not a curated record. NCBI's taxonomy places the organism in Eukaryota, Viridiplantae, Streptophyta, Magnoliopsida, Ericales, Theaceae.
AUCAAUCUAAAAAAAAAAAAAAACCAACCUCUAGCUUUCGUUCCAUAUACUUGUAUCUCUACACUGCCUCUCUCUUCAUCCCUUUACUCUCUAAUCCUCUGUCUCUUCUCUACUCCACAACUUUCCACUAUUGCCAUUGCGCCACCGUGACCACUAGUGAGCCACCUGCAUCAUCUUCACCUACGUACUUCUGCUACCUGGGCUGCUACUUUUGCCAAAGUUGAAACCCCAUCAGUGAAAUAGGAAGGUGGAGAUGCCUCAUUCUCCAGUGAUGAGGUGUUCCCCUGUGAGGGAGAUCCGAGGGGAUAAUCACAGAAGAGGGCGCAGUCUCGAGGGCGGGAUACUCCUUAGGGAGAAAAAUGACGAUCUUGCUCUGUUCAAUGAGAUGGAGACCAGAGAAAGAGACAGUUUCUUACUUCCAUCAAAUGAUGAUUUUGAAGAUACAUUCAAUACUUAUCAGAUUACAAGCUUGGAAUGAAUCACAAAACAAGAAAGGAAGACAAGUCUAUCUUGGUGCCUAUGAUGAUGAAGAAGCUGCUGCUUAUGCUUAUUUAUGAUUUGGCUGCAUUGAAAUAUUGGGGUCCAUAAACCAUUCUCAACUUUCCGGAAAAGCAGUGCUUUUUCUCGAGGAGUGUCAAAAUAUAGAGGAGUUGCAAGACAUCAUCAUAAUGGAAGAUGGGAAGCAAGGAUUGGCAUACUUUUUGGCAACAAAUACCUCUAUCUUGGGACAUAUGAUAAUUCCUAUUAUUAUUAUUUGAUGAUGAUGAUAAAUGAUGAUGAAACUCCUUCACCUUCCAAAAACCCUGAACAACUUUGGACCUUCGAAAAACUUUAAUGAACUUCGACCCUUUCUGGCGGUAAUGACUUUGGCUCUUGGGCAAGGCCUUUAUCUUUCUCUUUUACAAAUGGCUACAUGUCAAAGACCAACAGGUGCCAUGUGUUGAAUGAAUUAUUAAUGUGAUUUAUAUCUAAGGUACAAACACAAAUGCAUUGACAAUUUUAUAUUUAAAUUUUGAGCAUUGCUACUCAAGAAAAAAAAUUAGAUUCAUUUUUUAAGUUCAAUGAUGUGGCAAUUAAUUAGGAUAUUAAAUGUUACA